UCCAAAUGAUACAGCAAACUUGGACCUGUAGUUGGCAUCAGUCCAAAAUCUAGAGCCCAAAACUAAACACAAACAUAAUUUAUUUAGACAAAAUCUCAGCAUGGUUAAUUCAGGGGAACUUUGAUUUCAGUAAUAAUUAACUUGCUUGUUGAUUUGCAUUAACACACUUCAAAGUUCUGUUUUCUUAAUCUAAUACAGCUGUAAAUUAAGUCUUUAUGUGUGAAUAUGGUUCUUAGUGAAAAAUAUUAAAAUCAUUUUAUGACCUGACUAGAAAUAACAGUGAUGCAAAAAUUUUUAUCUUAAAAUGAUAGAAAUGUAUUCCCCCUACCAAUUUUCAGAAAACUUCAAGAUAUAAUUUCAACCAAUUUAAGUUCUAAGGCAGUCUGUUUUCCACUAAGCAAACUUCCCUGUUACUAAAAAUAAUGAAAUCCUAUGGAUAGGAGAAACCUAUUCUAUCAGAAAUAAGGAGAAAGCCAUUAACUACAAACAG
Molecule: long non-coding RNA, 490 nt
Filed under: Bos taurus (domestic cattle)
Lineage: Eukaryota; Metazoa; Chordata; Mammalia; Artiodactyla; Bovidae
Description: long non-coding RNA NONBTAT025524
Source: RNAcentral